CCCUGUGGAACCCUAAACGGCCGCGGCAUAAAACCGUGCAAAGGUAGCACAAUCACUUGUCCCUUAAAUGAGGACCCGUAUGAAAGGCAACAUGAGAGAGAACCUGUCUCCUAAGGUUAAGCCAAUGAAAUUGAUCUAUCAGUACAAAAGCUGACAUAACAAAGCAAGACAAAAAGACCCUAUGGAACUUUAACAAAUUACUUACACAAAAUAAGCAAUAGUUUCAGUUGGGACAACUUUAGAAAAAAUAAACCUCUAAGAUUAGCCUAGACUAACAAGUCUAAACCACACCACAUGACCCAGUAAUACUGAUUAACGAAACAAGCUACCCUAGGGAUAACAGCGCUACCUUCUCAAAGAGUCCAUAUCAACAAGAAGAUCUACGACCUCGAUGUUGGAUCAGGGUACCCAGACGGUGCAGCAGCUGUCAAU
This 432-nucleotide ribosomal RNA is filed under the name Chamaeleo gracilis. RNAcentral describes it as "partial large subunit ribosomal RNA". It matches the Rfam family "Bacterial large subunit ribosomal RNA", at positions 1907 to 2569 of the family's 2925-position model. The record is from RNAcentral. Lineage: Eukaryota; Metazoa; Chordata; Lepidosauria; Squamata; Chamaeleonidae.